This 1492-nucleotide long non-coding RNA is filed under the name Homo sapiens (human). Its description in RNAcentral is "HSALNT0328643". The record is from RNAcentral. Lineage: Eukaryota; Metazoa; Chordata; Mammalia; Primates; Hominidae.
GGUGGAGCUAGGGAAAGCCUUCAUGGAAAGGGUUUCAUCUUUCUGAACAUUCACCACACUGGUGGACAAAUCCUUUUUGUGUGAGGAAGAUGUGGCUGUUGGGAGAGUCAAGUAAUUGAAUGACGUGAAUUUCCUGGAGUUUCCAUAAGUUCCUGUAAAUUUAGCCUCCAACUGAAAUAAACCAACUGAAUGUAAGACAUCAGACCCUAAAGAACCAAAGUUGUUAUUUCUGUGGAAGACCAGCCAACCUAUUCUCACAGCUGAAACAAUGGAUCUGGCCUGCAGAGUGUUAAGGCAUUCUCCAAGUUUCAAAACAAGAGUACACCAUUUUGAAGGCCUAUAAAUAGAAAGAAUUUUUCAAAUAUUAAUUCAGUAAUGACCUCUGUCUUUGGAAAAGAUAAUUGCAAUGUGUUACUGCGAACCAAUUUAAACCUGUAUUUCUCAUUGCAUUUAAUAUUUAAUUUUGUUUUUUAUCAUUAUAUAUCAACAGUUCUUUCUGGAGCAAAGCAAUCCUAUUUGACUUUUUUUUUUUUUAACCUUAUAGUGCACACACACAUGUAUGUGUAGGGUUAUUUAAACAAGGAAACAUUUACAUCAAAAUGUGCAAAGAGUUAUCCUGGAAUAGAAAUGCUGAAAAUAUAUUUUCAAGAAGUUUUAAAAUUCUAGGCUGGCCUCAAUGUAUUCAGUAGCAUGCCAGAAACAGAAAAAAAAAUUUAAUCUCUCCAUUUGCUUAUUCCUAUUAACAUAUAUAGAAAAAAAACUUGCUCUAAACCUAAUGCCUAUGCGAUAUGUUUGUUUCCUGAUGCUGAUGAUAAAUCAUAACCGGGCACUUGGUUAUAUUUUUUAAUGUUCUACAUUUCUAGCACUGCUACUGUAUUCACAAUGAGCUUUAUAUCUGACAGUAAUUUUAUUUUCAGGUUCAGUCAUAUGAUGCCUUUCUAUAGGAAUAGGUUCUAUCACAGGAACAAAUUAUUCAAAUCUAGUUUAACGGACUCAGCAAUUCUCCUCAGUUUUAUCUUGGGCAUUUUGUAUUCCUUUGCCUAAACCUAGUGGCUAUGUAACAAUUCAAUUACCAAAGUCCUUCAUCCAGAAAGUGCUGUUGAUUUCCAGUAAUUCUUAUUCUGUUUGAUUUCUUUUUUUUUUCCUCCUAGUUUAACACAUGCCAGUUGGUGUCGACUGAGUUAAAAAUCUUGAAAUAAGCCUGGCACUGUGUCAGUACAUAGGUUAAAAAAUGAAACAAAAAAAUUUAAUAAAAUAUACGCUAGAAAUGGAAAAUAAGAUUAGCAGUGGCAUUUCUUGUCAUAAGGACAUUUUCUGUCUAUGCACACAAAAUAAAACCAGCUCAGUGUAGCUGAAGAAGAGAGGAAAGAGAGAGGUGGUAUAAAUUGAAAGACGAAAAGGCAGAGACUGAGUGUACAGAAGCGCGUUGAGAGCAUGCAGUCAGCUGGCAAGAAAAGGCAACUCGAAGAGCCUCAGAAGGUAAAACCUCAGU